CAGUUAUGACACAAAUAGUGAAGUCACCCCACAUCCCGAGAGACAGAGGAUAAGGUUACCAGCUUUGGCCUUUGACAGUGACAAUGGGAGGUAACAGAGAAGUGGACAACUAGUAAAGGAUCUAAACAGGAGAAAAGAUUUGAGGUAAAAGUGGAAGGGAAAAUACAGAAAAUGUCGUGAGAGUGAGGCCCACUGUUUCAAUGUGGUGUAAUCAAUGGAAAUGUGGAGGGAUACGAAAAUUGUUCUGUGCAUUUGUAGUAAUGGCAGUAAAGAAGAGUUUCCAAGACAAUGUCUGAUGUUUCUGUGCUCUUGAACCAGAUUUGCACCAGAGUCUCCAGUAGUUAAUAGGAAUUAUUGGUGAUUUUGCUUGGCUACAGUGUUUUUUGUGUAACUAUUCACCGAUACGGAGUACCAUCACCUCUCUCUUUUUUCUGCUACCCAUGGAAUACAUUUUGUGCUGGCACCCAUAGCACUUCUAUCAAAAUAUGAGUAUUGGCAUAUCAUUUUUAACCAUCCCCCCCUCCCCCAGUGUGGAUGGCUGUACUGGGUUUCAGUACAUAGUUAUUUUAAAAUAUUUAUAGGUUACGUUUCCUAAAUUAUGGUUUGUUUUAAUAGGCUUUAACAUUCUAUUAUAUUGCCUUUUAUUGUUGUGGAGGUUGGGUUUUAUUGUCCUUUUGGUUUGGUUUCUUGAAAAUUCAGUUUUCCCAGUGGCAUUUUCAGACAUUUUCUGCUUUACAAUAAUUUUAUGUGAGGGACUUUCUUGUGUGCUUCCAACCUCAAAGCAGCUUUGAAUGUUAAAAAAAAGAAAAAGGAGGGUGAGGCAGGAAGUGGGAGGGAUUCCACUUCCUGUUUUGCACUUCCAAACAUUUCCAAAGAGAAAUGUUUGUACUUCAUUCAACAGAAAACCUGAGAAACUGAAACAGCUCAUAUUUCUCACCAGAGGGUUAGGAGAUUUAUGACUUCUUUACUGAUAUUAGAGCAUCAAGGUAGGAAGAGGAAAUCCAAGCCAUUCAUCGUUUUCUCUUGGUUUUCUAUAAUGUCUGAAGGCUUACAUAUCUUCAGAUAAUAGUCUCUGACUUUUCUUCCUCCAUUUUGCCCAUAUGCACCUGGGCCAAUCCCUAAAUUGGGCGGCGGCGGGGGGGUUUACACAUAUACAGCAGGCUCCCCACUUUUGACUGCAUCCUCAAAUGGAGAAACAGGGGCAUGGUUGGAGGGGGCUAGGCCAGAGAUUGUGGCCCUGUGUUUCCUCUCACAUGAGUCUAAGAGCAUGAGAGAUGAAUGCCUGAAAAGAGCUCAAGUGUGAUUAAGAAACUGAAGCCAAUAAGUGCUCUGCAAAUAGCUUCAGACUAGAAUUACAGGGUAUACUCAAUGGUCAGGAUUCCAAGGGGGCAGGGUUACUAGGGAGCAGAGAAUAUGUUUAACCACCACCACACUGAUGUCAGAGUGUGCCUCUUUACUUUCUAUUCUACAUAUGUGGCUCCCUUUAUUUUCUGCUAUAUAAUCAUGUCCUUCACUCUGCUCGGAGAACUUAUGUGUUGCACUUGAGAAUAAAGUAGAAGCAAAAUGUGCCCUCCAUGCCAACAGUGUGUGGUUGGGCCUUACUGGCAAUGUCUUUUUUUAAAAAAAAAAUAUGUUUUUAUUAACAAUUUCAGCAUAAGAGAUUAUCAAAACAUAUAAUAUUCAUUAUUCUCCCCCUUUCCCCCCUUCAAACCUUCCCUCCCCCCCCCCCGAGACUUCCCUCAGCUCCUCUCUCUGAUUUUCUCAGAACAUAUUAUUCUCUGCAUGUUGUAAAAUUAUACAUAUCCUUACAGUAUCUAUCUACCAUGUUAGGUAAAGGUACCCCUGCCCGUACGGGCCAGUCGGGUCCGACUCUAGGGUUGUGCGCCCAUCUCACUUAAGAGGCCGGGGGCCAGCGCUGUCCGGAGACAUUUCCGGGUCACGUGGCCAGCGUGACGAAGCUGCUCUGGCGAGCCAGCACCAGAGCAGCGCACGGAAACGCCGUUUACUUUCCCACCGGGGCGGUACCUAUUUAUCUACUUGCACUUUGACGUGCUUUCGAACUGCUAGGUGGGCAGGAGCUGGGACCAAAAGAUGGGAGCUCACCCCGCCGCAGGGAUUCGAACCGCCGACCAUACGAUCGGCAAGUCCUAGGCGCUGAGGUUUUACCCACAGCGCCACCCGCGUCCCUAUCUACCAUGUUAUCAACUAGUAAAUUUGUGUAUGUUUAUUCAAAACCUGUUGUCUUUUAGAUAAGUUGUAAAAAGCUCCCAUUCUUCCUUAAAGUCACAGUUGUCCUUAUCCCACAAUUGGUAUGCCAAUUUAGCCAGCUCUGCGUAGCUCAUCAAUUUUUCUUGCCACUGUUCUUUCGUUGGGGUUUCCUCAUUCUUCCAUCCUUGUGCUAUCAAGACUCUUGCCACUGUUGUAGCAUACAUAAAUAAGUUCUUUGUUUUUCUUGGCAGGUCUUGUCCUACAAUCCCUAACAGAAAUGCUUCUGGUUUUUUUUACAAAUGUCAUUUUAAACAUUUUUUUCAAUUCAUUAUAUAUCAUUUCCCUUUUUUUUUAAACUUCUCUACAUUCCCACCACAUCUGAUAAAAAGUCCCUUCUUUUUCUUUACAUUUCCAACAUGUGUUUGACCCAGUUUUGUACAUUUUUGCUAUCUGUACUGGUGUAAUAUACCAUCUAUACAUCAUUUUCAUAUAAUUUUCUUUCAAAAGAGAACAACCUGUCAAUUUCAAAUUUCUUUUCCACAAUUUUUCCCAGUCCUCAAAUUGUAUAUUAUGUCCUAUAUACUGUGCCCAUUUGAUUAUGACCGAUUUGACCUCCUCCUCUUUUGUGUCCCAUUCUAGCAGAAUGGGCCUUACUAGCAAUGUCCCUGGGGUUGCUUGCACCCGUCUCCAGCAGUCCUUUCGAUAGACAAACCCCCAUUCUCCACACACACAUCCCGUUCAUCAUUAUGAUAGGCAUUUUGCUAGUAUUGUAAUGUACAACAAUGGAUUCUAACUAGCAUUUACUAUGUCAUGUUAAGUGCAGGAUUUGGAGACUGAACCGUCAAUACAUAUCCUUCUUCGUCUGGCACAAAGUGAUUGGCAGAAAUCAAAAUGAAUAGAGGAGGGCUGUUGAAUGAAAGACAACUCCUCUGCCAAUGAAGGUUAAGUCUCCAUAGUACUAAUAGUCUUUUCGGCACUAAGACAGGUUGGUGUUUUGAAAACUACGAAGCAGGAUUUUCCCUCUUGCAGCUGUUGCAGCUAGCAACUAUAAGGGAGCAAGAGGAUUUAGUUCAUGCCUGAUGAUGAAGGACCAAAAUCCAUCCUCCUUUGCUGACAAUGGGUGGAAGAUGGAGCUGAGGUGCUUUGCACAACUCUGUAAUAUCCAAAAUGAAGCAGGAAAUAAAACAGUUCUUUUUAUCUUCAGUGGAAUAUUAGCUUAACACCCCCUACCCCAGGAGAGAUGGCAGAACCUUGGGGGCAAGUGGAAAACAGGUGUCCUAGUUGAAGGCCUUUUGGGUUUGAUGAGAGGGAGGAGAGACAGAAUCCAAGACCCUUAUCCAAUCCACCCCUUAAUUCUUCGCUUUGACUUGAGACCCCUUUAAGCAAUGCCCCAGAUACUUUCCUGAAUCCCAUAAAACUCAUUGACAGUGGCUGUGAUCAGAGCAACUCCUCUCUACAGAACAUCACUUCUUCAGCUGCACAGCCCCAUCUUGAGUCCUAUCGUACUUACAGGACCGCCUCUCCUGGUAUGUCCCGCAGAGGACCCCAAGGUCCAUGAAUAAUAAUAGCUUAAAGGUCCCGGGCCCUAAAGAAGCCAGACUUGAUCUCCUUCCGCAGGGCCUGUAAGACAGAGCUUUUCCACCUGGCCUUCAAUUUGAAUUAGCCUGAUUCUCUACUCCCUUUUCCCUUUCCUUUUCUAUGAAGAAACCCUUCUGGGACCCCAUAUUUAAACUCUUCCCUGGUCUCCUUGCUGGCCCUAGUAGGACCAACUUGGCCAGUUAGCCUUGGUGAUCAUUUGAUGUUUACUGUCUGGGGUUUCCCCAAAAUGAUCCCUUAAUUUUUGAAUUUUAUUGACAUUGAUGCUGCAUUUAUGUUGUAUUUUAUGCUGUUUUUAUGCUGUUUUUAAGUCACAUUUUAAUCAAUGUUUUAUAUUUGCUGUUAGCAGUCCUGAGCCCAGUUUUUACACCAGGAAGGGUAGGGUAUAAAUAAAAAUUAUUAUUAUUAUUAUUAUUUCUUCUUUAGGGUUGGUUUGCUACAAAGAAAAUGGUACACCUGUACCUUUUAUACUUCAGGUGGGGGUUCACAUGACUGAAUGCUCCCCUGUGCCAUAAACAAGCAAAAAAAAAAAAAAAUCUCUACUGAGACUAAAGGGGAAAAAAAUCACAUUGUUAAGGAGGCUUCUAACCUUGCAAUUUUCAAUGCACAAGGAUUAAUAAUAAUAACCAUUGUUAUUGCAAUAAUUUAUUGCCUGCCCUUCACCCUAAAGUCCCAGGGAAGGUUUCAGCAAUUAAAACACAACAUUAAUAUUGCCUCAUAUUGUGUUUUAAUAUCAAACAGUUUAAUUUCAAAAACAAAGUGGGUCCUAACAAUAUUCAUCUCUAGUGUCAAAAGCCAAGUUAAAGAGAUGCGUCUUCAGCAAUGCCCAAAGCUGUAUAAUGAAGCACACAUCUCUGUGAGAAAGUAGUUCCACAACUUACGGGCUGCCUCAGAAAAUGCCCUCUCCACUCUUGCGGCAUAAAAUGGUACAAUCUAGAAACAAGCUUAUCACUUCAGGUGCUGUCUGAGAGAAUCGGACCAAACACAACAGCAUGCUGGGAAAGUGAAAAGCCUCCGAUAAGCUUCCUUUUCUUCAUUUGAAAAUAGUUUUUAUUUGAUUUUGCAAGCGUAAAGUUAUAACAAUGCAUAUCCACCUUUAGAGAUUUCUCUGAAUCUCCAGACUUCCCACCACCCUCUCCAUGGUCCUUAUUGUCAACAUUUUCAGCUGCAUAUUAUUUCAUUAUUCAUAUUUUGUAUCUCUCCAUAUUGUCCAUAGUAAUUGUUACAUUACAAGUGUUGUUAAAAUCCUGCCAAUGUUUUCAUCUGCUUGCAGUGGUCUCCUAAAUAAAUUAUAAUUCCCACCCCCCAUUCUUUCUUGAAGUUUUUGUCUUCUUGGUUCCUGAGCUUUCCAGUCAGUUUUCCAAUUCCACAUAGUCCAACAGUUUAAUUUGCCAUUCUUCUCUGGUAGGGACUUUGUCUUCUUUCCAUCUCCAGGCUAGUGGCAUCCAUGUGGCUGCUGUUGUAUACAUAAAAAGUCAUCUCCUUUUGGGGUGGCAGUACCUACAAUUCCUAAUAAGAAAGCUUCUGGUUUGUUUGUUUUUAAUAAAAGUUAUUUUAAAUAUUUUUUUCAAUUCAUUAUAUAUCAUUUCCCAGAACGCUUUCAUUACCUUAGACGACCACCACAUAUAAUAAAAGGUACCUUCUUUUUCUCUACAUUUCCAGCAGGUAUUUGUACUUGUCUUAUACAUUUUUUGCUAACUUAAAGUAAAGGUAAAGGGACCCUUGAUCAUUAGGUCCAGUCGUGGCCGACUCGGGGGUUGUGGCGCUCAUCUCGCUUUAUUGGCCGAGGGUGCUGGCGUACAGCUUCCGGGUCAUGUGGCCAGCAUGACUAAGCCACUUCUGGCAAACCAGAGCAGCGCACGGAAACACCGUUUACCUUCCUGCCGGAGCGGUACCUAUUUAUCUACUUGAUCUUUGACGUGCUUUCGAACUGCUAGGUUGGCAGGAGCAGGGACCAAGCAACGGGAGCUCACCCUGUCACAGGGAUUUGAACUGCCGACCUUCUGAUUGGCAAGUCCUAGGCUCUGUGGUUUAACCCACAGUGCCACCCGCGUCCCUUUGCUAACUUACUAGGAGUCAAUUACCACCUGUACAUAAUUUUCAUAUAGUUUUCUUUCAGCGUACAACAUGCCGAGAAUUUCAAAUCUGUUUUCCAUAACCUUUCCCAAUCUAAAAGUUGAAUGUUAUGCCCCAAAUCCCUCACCCAGUGUAUCAUUAGCCUCUGAUACGCUUUCAAGGAGCCUCGGAUUUUCGAACCCUACUGCAUGAACUCCUUUUACGACAUCACGAUCCAGCUCCUUCCUAAUUUUAGUACACCUUGUGUUUUACUUACUGUUGCGGGAUGUCUUAUGAAAAGUAUCUUGAGGGGGGUUAUUAUUUCCUUCCCUGUUGGAGUGGGGGAUAACUGAUGACCCAGUUUCAUCCCACAAGAAGUGACCCUUCUGAGUGGUUAGCUUUUAACUUGUAGAGAAGACAGCUUCUGCAAACUGCCUUCCGAGAGCUCUAGAAAGAUAUGCCUGUAUCAGCAACGGGAUUAACUUAGAACCUGGAUUUGAAUCUCUUGGGCAGUUAAUAACAGUCAAAUCCACUGAGACAGCAUGGGCUCAUUUGAUUUCAUAAUCUCACAUCUCUUUAUACCCUGCAGAAACUUUACAUUGUUUUGCUAAGAAAUGAGGAAGCGUUUCAAAAGAGAUCAUCACAGGGGAAAAUAAAUCCACUGAGAGCAGAGCCAUGUGGAUCAAGGUGUUUUUACCUGGCUACUCACCUGAUGUUUAGCUGAUAAAUUGAUGGUUGUAUUGAAAGGAAUUUGCACAACAAUAAUGUGUGCCCUUUCGUAAUUUAACAGAUGAUAGCUACCACUUAUUGCUGAAAGGAAAGGCCAUCUUUAAUAUUAUAUAUUUAAUUUCCUGGUACAGUAACACACCAGAACCAAAACAGCAUACACCCUCCAACAUUUCUCUGAUGAAAAUAGGGGCAUCCUAUUAUUAUUAUUAUUAUUAUUAUUAUUAUUAUUAUUAUUAUUACUACCGUAUUUUUUGCUCUAUAACACGCACCAGACCAUAAGACGCACCUAGUUUUUGGAGGAGGAAAACAAGAAAAAAAAUAUUCUACAUCUGGGAUAGCUGCGCAGCCUGCAUUCGCUCCAUAAGACGCACAGACAUUUCCCCUUACUUUUUAGGAGGGGAAAAGUGAGUCUUAUAGAGCAAAAAAUAUGGUAUUAUUAUUAUUAUUAUUAUUAUUGUUGUUGUUAUUAUUAUUAUUAUAUUUAUACCCCAUCCAACUGACUCAGGGCAGCUUCCAACAUAUAUAAAACCAUAAAAAAAUCUUCCCCAUACAGGAUUGCCUUCAGGCGGCCUGGGGGUCAGAUAACUCCUUACUCUCCAACAUUUCUCCGAUGAAAAUAGGGGCAUCCUAAGGAAAAGUGGGACAUUCUGGGAUCAAAUCAGAUGACUUCUGUAAAUCUGGGACUGUCCAUGGGAAAUGGAGACACUUGUAGGGUCUGAAACAGCUUCAGAAAUGCAAGCGUAUUUUUCAACUAACUGGUAAACUGAAAGUUGCUAUCACUGAUUAGUUUAAUAAGCCAAGGUAUGCAUAGGCUUUGUGUGCUCGCAUGCAACACAUUUGCUCCCACUUCGCUUCAUGUGAGCAAGGAAAUAAACUAGGAAGCCGCAAUUAGCCAUAGCUUCCUGUUAGUUCCAAACAAGGGACUCUGGUCGAUUGCCUUCUAAACAAGCCAGUCUCAGAAGCUCCCUUGACAGCUGCUGGCUCGAUUCCUCCCAGAGGACAGUCUGACAGGCUACUGUCAAUCUGAUGCAGCUGGCCCAGAAACUAGCAAUACGCGUAUAUUAGCGCAUUCCUGUAAGAGCCCUGGGAAGGGAAAGCAGAGCUUAGAUUUUGGGACUCAACACAGAAAAGUUUAUUAAAAGGCAACAACAGCGAAAUCACCUUAGCUACUCAGUAUGGAGUUGUGAAACCUAUCCCAGAAGAGAAGCAGGGUGGCAGUGAGUCAAGGCAUGUGGCAGUGUGGCAAUGCCUAGAUCAAUGAGGGAGAGGGCAGGAUAGUGAGGAGAAAGAGAUGGAGGUCUUUACCUAUUCUUAAACUGCAUAGAGAAGUGGGGAUCUAGAUCGUAAGAAGGAAAUCUGGUGUUCCUAGGCUACUGUAGGCUACUGGGCAGGAUCAAAAGGGCUCUGAGGGGAUCUGGUGGCCCCUGGCCCCAGUAGGGCAUCCACUGGUCAGACAUGCAGGCAGAUGAGAUGCAAAGAUGGGUAUCCAGCUGGAAAUUUCAAGAGUCAAAUCAGACAGUGUGUCUAUGAGCAGGACUGCUCUCAAAGGCAGCCUAAAAUCCAGAAAAAGAGGAUCAGGGCUGGUGAGGAGUGCAGCCUUGGGACAGGGCAUGGGCAGAAAGAGUGCCAAAGGCUGAUUAGAAAGGCUCCUGUGACGUGCUAGGAACGUGGGCUUGGGAAAGCACAUCUUUGUUUGAGACUCUGUCCUGCCAUUUGAUGCCUCGGCCUCAGCCCAGUAUACCUGAAGGAGCGUCUCCACCCCCAUUGUUCAGCCCGGACACUGAGGUCCAGCUCCGAGGGCCUUCUGGCGGUUCCCUCACUGCGAGAAGUGAGGUUACAGGGAACCAGGCAGAGGGCCUUCUCGGUGGUGGCGCCCACCCUGUGGAAUGCCCUCCCGUCAGAUACCAAGGAAAUGAACAACUAUCUAACUUUUAGAAGACAUCUGAAAGCCGCCCUGUUUAGGGAAGUUUUUAAUGUUGAUGUUUUGUUGUGUUUUUAAUAUUCUGUUGGGAGCUGCCCAAAGUGGCUGGGGAAACCCAGCCAGAUGGGUGGGGUAUAAAUAAUAAAUUUCUAUUUCUGUUGUUGUUGUUGUUGUUGUUGUUGUUGUUGUUGUUGUUGUUGUUGUCGUCGUCGUCAUCAUCAUGCCCAGCAGUGUGAAACAGGGCUGUGUUCUCACCCCAGCUCUCUUUGGCAUAUUCUUCUCCCUGUUGUUCUCAUAUGCCUUCAGCUCAACUGAAGACAGUGUGUACAUCCAUUCAAGGAGUCAUGGGGGUCUGUUCAACCUGUCUUGUCUCCACGUCAAGACAAAAGUGUGGCAGGUUCUUAUCUGAGAGAUGUUGUUUGCAAAUGAUGCAGCCUUGACAGUGCACUCUGAGGAAGCUCUGCAGAAACUCAUCAAUUGUUUUGCCCACGCCUGCAUGGACUUCAGCCUCACCAUCAGCCUGGCGAAGACCAACAUCCUGGGUCAGGAUGUUGCCAGCACACCACACAUUAGCAUUGGUGAGCACAAGCUUGAGGUAGCCAUAACCAGCAACCCUUCCAUUGACAGGGCUAGAUAAGGAAGCAAUACAUGGUUGGUUCAUUUGCAUGUGCUUAGACUUAGUUACAGGCUGAUUGCCAGGCUUGGCUCCAUUCCCAACAUCAACGCUCUUGGAUCUCCUUUCCUUGAUUCUUGAGACUCGCUUUGAUCCAUAAGGAAGUGAUCUCAAUAAAUCACUAGGUCAGAGCUGUCUUUUUAAUGUAUACAAAUGUUUUGCAGGGAGACAAUACCUUAAGGGUUAAGGGAAAAUGGAAGCUGCGGGAAGUCUCAUCUCAGAGUUCCCAAAUUGUUUUGUCGAAUUAGCUUUCUAUAGGUGAGGAACAUUUACAAAGAUUUAACCUUCUUUGCCCCAUUCAAAUUAAAGACACCUGCUUUGAAACUUGGAAAAUGUAAGGAUCAAGUCUUAACACUGACUGAGGACUUCUCUGCCCUAUUACAAGUGGUUUGAAGAUAAGUCUAAAACAACCAUAAAACAGGGGAACAUAUGGCAAGGGAAAACACUAUAUGAUAUAUUGAAACUGCAGUAAUGUUUUUCUACGGAGUGAUGUUUCCUUUAAUUUCCUAAAGUAUGCUAGGAAGCAUAUUAAUGUAACAAGAUAGUCACAUUAUGCCAGCUCCCCUUUUAUUACCAAUUUAAUGAUGUACCCUGCUAAUUUGCUUCUCAUAUGUACCUUGUGCAUAGAGGUCCAGUUGGCUUAUAGGAGAAUAGCAAUGCUGUUGUUUUUAUUGGGCCUGGAUGGGGGAGUUGGAAACAGGUAUUAAAUCAAAGGAUGCACAUUUAUAACCAUGUGGAUCUAAUUAAGUCUAUGAGUAAACUUUUGAAAAAAUAAAAGUCCCUUUGUUGAUGGCAUAAGGUGCAUUACAGAAGGUCUUCCUUUGCUUUGCUUUGUUUUUCUUUUGAAAGAGGGCAGAUUCUUUUUUCUGUUUGGCAAUAUUGCACAGUCUGAAGAGCAGUAUUUUAACUUUAUUGAUAUACCAUUCAUCCCAGGCUUGGUUCCAAAGACAUUCCCACCACCCCAGUGUGAAGGUUUCAUAGUGAUGAUGCACUCCCCACAUCUUCCUUAUACUUUGCUGUUUCUAGAGUGCUGAAAGUAACUAGGUGCAAUACCUCAGAGGCUGCUAACCUGUAGCCUUCCAGAUAUUUUUGGACUCCCAUCAGCUCCAGCCAAUGUGGCCAAUGGUCUGGAGAACCAAUGAGAGUUUUAGUGCAACAGCACCUGAAUCUGUGCAUAAACAAAAAACAAGAGGAUAAGAGCAUAAGAAUAGCCUGUGGGGUCAGGAGAGUGGCUCACCUAAUCCAGCAUCCAGAUACCUGUGAGAAACCAGCAAGCAGGAUCCAGACCUCCUGUAGUUUUCAGAAGCACUAUUGGCUUCCAGUUUGUUGACAUGGCAGAGCAAGGCAAUCAUGGCUAGUAGCCAUCAAUAGCCCUCUCCUCCAAGAAUUUGUCUAAUCGUCUUUCAAAGCCACCUAGGUUGGCAGCCAUCACUGCCUCCCUACUAAACAAAGCAGAUGCACAAGGGAAUGGAGGACAAAGGUAGAGGAAUGGUGGGCAUCUUGAGAAUGUGAGUUCUUACCAGGCAUUUCAAUCCACUUAGGGAACACCUUGCUGGUGUUCUUGCUGGGAGGAAGCUGUCUGUGACCUCUGAUUGAUUUUCUUGAUUCUCUAACCAAAGUGUUCUUCCUCUCACUUCUAGAUUUGCUGCAGUGGAAGGGGAAGGAAACUCCAUGACACUGAUGGUCCUUUAGCUGACAGCUGUGGUACCAGGCCCCUUGCUAAUGCUCUUGCUGGCCCAUUGCAGCUGCUCCUGACUUCCUCGUUGGUGGCUGGAACCAGAUUUCCUCUUGCCUGCACUGCAACCACAAGGCAACAGUGAUAUUGACAAUUCUAACUAGUGCUGUUUCAAAAAUUCCUCCCCUACACACACAGAGACACACACACACACAAACUGAUACCAUUCACUAUCAGUUAAUGAGAAAAUAAAUUAUGUUUGGGAAGAAAGGAAGUGAAAUUCUUAUUGUUAAAGUGCAUACAGUGGUACCUUGGGUUACAUACACUUCAGGUUACAUACGCUUCAGGUUACACACUCCGCUAACCCAGAAAUAGUGCUUCAGGUUAAGAACUUUGCUUCAGGAUAAGAACAGAAAUCAUGCUCCGGCGGCGUGGCGGCAGCAGGAGGCCCCAUUAGCUUCAGGUUAAGAACAGUUUCAGGUUAAGAACAGACCUCCGGAACGAAUUAAGUACUUAACCCGAGGUACCACUGUAUUUUUGUUGCUUUCGAGGCUGCCGGAGCAUGUUGGUGAGUGUUCUGCAAGUAAUCUCACCAGCAGUCUGUAUCCUACACCUGCCCUCGGUGUCCACAUUUCCCCCAAAUCCCAUGACAUCCUCCACUGGACAUCCUUGGAAGCAGGUCAAAAUGGAGAGGCUACUUUCUGUGUUCCCAGCCACUGUUAGUCCUGCUUUUGAAAAACAUGAAGUCUUUCUACUUUUAAAGAAACCAAUAUGGAUUUUUUGAAAAAAGGUAAACGGAGUGUACUGAUCUCGGAUGCUUGGUAACCAACCUCCUAUGCUUCAAUCUGAGUUCCAGGGAAGAGACUGUGUGGUUAACAUCUCCUAUGGAGCUUUUCAAAUUAGGAAGUUCAGACAGCCAAGAAGUCUUCUGAAUAGGGAUAGGCGAGAAAUGCAAUUUUUGCAUGUGAAUGAGAAAAUACCAAAUUCGCACUGCUCAAAUGAGUAUUUGAACUAAGUCGGGUAAAAGCCACCUUCCUUCCUUAGAUGGAGUUUAGAUGGUCUGCCUCUGAUGAAAGUAGUCCAGGUAGCUAAUUGGAAAGUUAUUUAUGGGAUAGUUCUAUUCUGAAAGAGCUGUCACGUUCAGACCAACUGAACUAUCAUGAAAGGGGCUCAGGAGGUAGACUGGAGAUGAAACUAAGGAUGUUUGCUUAUUUAUUUCAUUCUUCUCAGGGGUUCAGAACCCUAGAUUCACUAGGUGGUGCUGUUGGUCUUUGUCAUGGGUGAGGUGCAAAUAAUGUUGUUGUUGUUGUUGUUGUUGUUGUUGUUGUUGUUGUUGUUGUUGUUGUUACAGGACUCCUCUCUUGUGGCCUUCAUACAUACCUGAAAUUCCUUUUUGCUUCUCCAAGCCUUUUCUUGACUUUCCUGGGAACUCCACUGGUAACAUUUAUUUUUUUAAAAAGUUAAACGACUGGAAACUGUCUUCUGGGAGCAUGCUCCAAAAGCCAGAAUGAAGGAUUUUGGUAGAUCAAUCACCUGCUUUUAAAAUGGCCCAUUAAUUUAUUUAAUUGCUUAUUGUUUAAAAGGGUCUGUUAAUUCAUCAAAUUUAAAUAAAUAUGCACGUCACUAAAAAAGAAAAUCAAGAGUCUUUUUUGACAUAUUGGUAUGAAAAUUUAAGAUGCAAUAAAGAAAUUACCAUUGGCUGCAAGAAGAAAAGCUUUAUUACACUUAAAUAAUGGGGCCACGCUUGCCUCAAAAAAGGAACAUUUGUACAGUAAACUAUCUUCUACACACACUCUCACUUCUCUCUAUGCUCCAUCCAGCCUAAAACUUCCUAUCUACAUUUCCUGUCUGAUUUGAUGAAGAUGAUGGACUUUUCAGAGCUAGCCGACCUGAUUGGAAGAGUCCACGACCAGAAGGAGGAGGAGUACCAGGAGGAAUGGAUGAAAUUCAAAGACUGUUUAGUUAAAUAUACUAAGAUAACUUAAUUGGAAAAACUUGCAAAUACCAGAUAGGCUUAGGAUUUUAAUGUGAUGUUAGAGAAUAAUAUGUUUAAAGUCAAAAUGAAAACAAAUAAAGAUGUUAAGUGGCCAAGUUAAUUUUAUGAGAAAAUUGGUUUUGGAAAACUGUUACAAUGAUAUACACUGAAAUUCAACCAGGGGGAUUUGAGGAAGUCACUUAACGAUGUUACCAAGAUUGGAUCAAGUACAGUUAAGAUGUAUGUAUGUUUGUUGGUUUAAAUUUUUGGAAAAUCAAUAAAAAAAUUGGGG
Podarcis lilfordi (Lilford's wall lizard) is the source of this 13124-nucleotide non-coding RNA. The record is from the annotation of a GenBank genome assembly. NCBI's taxonomy places the organism in Eukaryota, Metazoa, Chordata, Lepidosauria, Squamata, Lacertidae.